RNAcentral lists this ribosomal RNA (1379 nucleotides) under uncultured bacterium. RNAcentral's name for it is "16S ribosomal RNA". It matches the Rfam family "Bacterial small subunit ribosomal RNA". The record is from RNAcentral.
UUCGCCCUUAGAGUUUGACCCUGGCUCAGGACGAACGCUGGCGGCGCGCCUAACACAUGCAAGUCGAACGAGCAAGAGAGAGCUUGCUUUCUCGAGCGAGUGGCGAACGGGUGAGUAACGCGUGAGGAACCUGCCUCAAAGAGGGGGACAACAGUUGGAAACGACUGCUAAUACCGCAUAAGCCCACGGGUCGGCAUCGACCAGAGGGAAAAGGAGCAAUCCGCUUUGAGAUAGCCUCGCGUCCGAUUAGCUAGUUGGUGAGGUAACGGCCCACCAAGGCGACGAUCGGUAGCCGGACUGAGAGGUUGAACGGCCACAUUGGGACUGAGACACGGCCCAGACUCCUACGGGAGGCAGCAGUGGGGAAUAUUGCACAAUGGGGGAAACCCUGAUGCAGCGACGCCGCGUGGAGGAAGAAGGUCUUCGGAUUGUAAACUCCUGUUGUUGGGGAAGAUAAUGACGGUACCCAACAAGGAAGUGACGGCUAACUACGUGCCAGCAGCCGCGGUAAAACGUAGGUCACAAGCGUUGUCCGGAAUUACUGGGUGUAAAGGGAGCGCAGGCGGGAAGACAAGUUGGAAGUGAAAUCUAUGGGCUCAACCCAUAAACUGCUUUCAAAACUGUUUUUCUUGAGUAGUGCAGAGGUAGGCGGAAUUCCCGGUGUAGCGGUGGAAUGCGUAGAUAUCGGGAGGAACACCAGUGGCGAAGGCGGCCUACUGGGCACCAACUGACGCUGAGGCUCGAAAGUGUGGGUAGCAAACAGGAUUAGAUACCCUGGUAGUCCACACCGUAAACGAUGAUUACUAGGUGUUGGAGGAUUGACCCCUUCAGUGCCGCAGUUAACACAAUAAGUAAUCCACCUGGGGAGUACGACCGCAAGGUUGAAACUCAAAGGAAUUGACGGGGGCCCGCACAAGCAGUGGAGUAUGUGGUUUAAUUCGACGCAACGCGAAGAACCUUACCAAGUCUUGACAUCCCUUGACAGGCAUAGAAAUAUGUUUUCUCUUCGGAGCAAGGAGACAGGUGGUGCAUGGUUGUCGUCAGCUCGUGUCGUGAGAUGUUGGGUUAAGUCCCGCAACGAGCGCAACCCUUAUGGUCAGUUACUACGCAAGAGGACUCUGGCCAGACUGCCGUUGACAAAACGGAGGAAGGUGGGGAUGACGUCAAAUCAUCAUGCCCUUUAUGACUUGGGCUACACACGUACUACAAUGGCGUUAAACAAAGAGAAGCAAGACCGCGAGGUGGAGCAAAACUCAGAAACAACGUCCCAGUUCGGACUGCAGGCUGCAACUCGCCUGCACGAAGUCGGAAUUGCUAGUAAUCGUGGAUCAGCAUGCCACGGUGAAUACGUUCCCGGGCCUUGCACACACCGCCCGUCA